CCAAGUUAAUAAGAUCUCUCCGCGUGUGUGUGUGUGUGUGUGUGUGUGUGUGUAUAUAUAUAUAUACACACAUACAUUUACAUGUGUAUAUACACAUAAA
This 100-nucleotide microRNA precursor is filed under the name Otolemur garnettii (small-eared galago). RNAcentral's name for it is "miRNA (ENSOGAG00000021027.2)". Lineage: Eukaryota; Metazoa; Chordata; Mammalia; Primates; Galagidae. The record is from RNAcentral.